Molecule: ribosomal RNA, 1107 nt
Filed under: uncultured bacterium
Lineage: Bacteria
Description: bacterial SSU rRNA
Rfam family: Bacterial small subunit ribosomal RNA
Source: RNAcentral
AGAGUUUGAUCCUGGCUCAGAUUGAACGCUGGCGGCAGGCCUAACACAUGCAAGUCGAACGGUAACAGGAAGCAGCUUGCUGCUUCGCUGACGAGUGGCGGACGGGUGAGUAAUGUCUGGGAAGCUGCCUGAUGGAGGGGGAUAACUACUGGAAACGGUAGCUAAUACCGCAUAAUGUCGCAAGACCAAAGAGGGGGACCUUCGGGCCUCUUGCCAUCGGAUGUGCCCAGAUGGGAUUAGCUUGUUGGUGGGGUAACGGCUCACCAAGGCGACGAUCCCUAGCUGGUCUGAGAGGAUGACCAGCCACACUGGAACUGAGACACGGUCCAGACUCCUACGGGAGGCAGCAGUGGGGAAUAUUGCACAAUGGGCGCAAGCCUGAUGCAGCCAUGCCGCGUGUAUGAAGAAGGCCUUCGGGUUGUAAAGUACUUUCAGCGGGGAGGAAGGGAGUAAAGUUAAUACCUUUGCUCAUUGACGUUACCCGCAGAAGAAGCACCGGCUAACUCCGUGCCAGCAGCCGCGGUAAUACGGAGGGUGCAAGCGUUAAUCGGAAUUACUGGGCGUAAAGCGCACGCAGGCGGUUUGUUAAGUCAGAUGUGAAAUCCCCGGGCUCAACCUGGGAACUGCAUCUGAUACUGGCAAGCUUGAGUCUCGUAGAGGGGGGUAGAAUUCCAGGUGUAGCGGUGAAAUGCGUAGAGAUCUGGAGGAAUACCGGUGGCGAAGGCGGCCCCCUGGACGAAGACUGACGCUCAGGUGCGAAAGCGUGGGGAGCAAACAGGAUUAGAUACCCUGGUAGUCCACGCCGUAAACGAUGUCGACUUGGAGGUUGUGCCCUUGAGGCGUGGCUUCCGGAGCUAACGCGUUAAGUCGACCGCCUGGGGAGUACGGCCGCAAGGUUAAAACUCGAAUGAAUUGACGGGGGCCCGCACAAGCGGUGGAGCAUGUGGUUUAAUUCGAUGCAACGCGAAGAACCUUACCUGGUCUUGACAUCCACGGAAGUUUUCAGAGAUGAGAAUGUGCCUUCGGGAACCGUGAGACAGGUGCUGCAUGGCUGUCGUCAGCUCGUGUUGUGAAAUGUUGGGUUAAGUCCCGCAACGAGCGCAACCC